GUUUAAGAUUGGAUUUAUGCCCAUUUUGAGUAAAUCCUCACCCUCCUUGGUUUAGCUUCGGCUGAUCUCAGUUGGUUCUUGUUAAAACCAAAAUAUCCUCACCUGCAGCCCACGAGGAUUACUUUGCUUCAUCGUUGUAUUCUAACAACCCUGGGAUGUUGGAUUGAUUACUGACGCCAUUUGAGAGAUGAGGAAAUAAAUUCUCAUACAAAUGAAGUGGUUUGUCCUGAGUCAGAGAGUUAGAAAACUUCAGAGGCGAGAUUUGCACCUGUAGUCCUAAGCCAGUGUUGAGGCUGAAGGAGACGGUAUUCCUGGUUAGAUUACAUCAUUACCACAAGAGAGGCUUGAGUUCUGAGGAUGACGGUUUUAUAGCCCGUAGACCCCCACAACUGGAGCCAUCUGGACUUCUGGAAGCCUGGUACCAACCAGGUCCAGGAAGAAGACGUCCAGCACUCCAGGAGUCCCACGCGCUCCCUCCCAGUUGCAAUGCUCAUACUCCUCCUUGGAGAUUCCGUCACUCUGGCCUCCAACCUCCAGCUGAGUUUGCCUGCCUCCAAACGUUAUGGGAGGUUGAUGUGUGAAGCACCUACGAGUGCCUCGUGGAAUACUACGAGCAUGUGAACACCCCACGGCAGAGAAUUCCGGAUUGCCACAGGGAAAGGCGACUAGGCUUCCUAGAUGGCAAAUUUGCCCUGAUUCCCAGCCUGCUGCCUGCAUUAGUCAAGGUUCUCCAGAGAAACAGAACCGAAGAGAGAGACAGACAUGUUAUAAGGGAUCGACUUAAUUUCAGAAGCUUUGAAUCUCAAGGUCUGCAGUUAAAGAGCUGGACACUCAGGAGAGCUGAUGGUAUAAGGUCCAGUCUGAGGCUGAAGGCAGAAGACAGACAUGGUGUCCUAGCUGGAAGACACUCAGGCAGAGAGUGACUUCUCCCUUAGGCCACCUUCUCAUGUCGUAUCUCCUUCUCUGACGCUGACCCUCCCACCUCCCUCUUCUAAGGACCCUUGUGAUAAAGUUGUGCCCACUGGAUAACCCCAGGUUGUCUGGGGAAGAUGUAGAUGAUCCAGUCAAAGCCCAUGCCUUUCCUGGGUCAUUCAGGGGAUGCAGGGAACUGUUGUUGACCCCGUGUACGAGGAGGCAUGUUAGGUUCUUUGAAAUCGACAUUGAGCACCCUCCCCGAUGCAGCACUCCCUUCCCCAUCAUUCUGCAUCAGCAAGCCAUCUGUGCCGUUCAAAUAUUGUUCAAAUGUAAUAUUUCUGAAACUAUUUUUAAGAUGCUUCCUAAAUGCUUGCCAAAACUCUUAACGGUCCCACGUGAACAAAAAAUAAAAUCGUUCGUCAGCUUUGCAUUGUGGAAAUAGACUGUCAGAUGGAGAGAAAAUGAAGGCAGUUGAUUCAGUGCACCCCAAAGAGGAGGUGGAGGUGCUGGGUGCAUACC
This is a long non-coding RNA of Bos taurus (domestic cattle), 1434 nucleotides long. The record is from Ensembl. Lineage: Eukaryota; Metazoa; Chordata; Mammalia; Artiodactyla; Bovidae.